AGAGUUUGAUCAUGGCUCAGAACGAACGCUGGCGGCAGGCUUAACACAUGCAAGUCGAACGUGAAGCCACCUUCGGGUGGUGGAAAGUGGCAGACGGGUGAGUAACGCGUGGGAACGUACCCUUCGGUUCGGAAUAACCCGGGGAAACUCGGGCUAAUACCGGAUACGUCCGCAAGGAGAAAGAUUUAUCGCCGAAGGAUCGGCCCGCGUCCGAUUAGCUAGUUGGUGGGGUAAUGGCCCACCAAGGCGACGAUCGGUAGCUGGUCUGAGAGGAUGAUCAGCCACACUGGGACUGAGACACGGCCCAGACUCCUACGGGAGGCAGCAGUGGGGAAUAUUGGACAAUGGGCGAAAGCCUGAUCCAGCCAUGCCGCGUGAGUGAAGAAGGCCUUAGGGUUGUAAAGCUCUUUCGCCGAUGAAGAUAAUGACGGUAGUCGGAGAAGAAGCCCCGGCUAACUUCGUGCCAGCAGCCGCGGUAAUACGAAGGGGGCUAGCGUUGUUCGGAAUUACUGGGCGUAAAGCGCGCGUAGGCGGGUCGUUAAGUCAGGGGUGAAAUGCCGAGGCUCAACCUCGGAACUGCCUUUUGAUACUGGCGACCUGGAGUUCGGGAGAGGUGAGUGGAAUUCCGAGUGUAGAGGUGAAAUUCGUAGAUAUUCGGAGGAACACCAGAAGCGAAGGCGGCUCACUGGCCCGAUACUGACGCUGAGGCGCGAAAGCGUGGGGAGCAAACAGGAUUAGAUACCCUAGUAGUCC
This 753-nucleotide ribosomal RNA is filed under the name uncultured bacterium. RNAcentral's name for it is "bacterial SSU rRNA". It matches the Rfam family "Bacterial small subunit ribosomal RNA", at positions 8 to 796 of the family's 1533-position model. The record is from RNAcentral.